GGUGGGGUUCCCGAGCGGCCAAAGGGAGCAGACUGUAAAUCUGCCGUCAUUGACUUCGAAGGUUCGAAUCCUUCCCCCACCACCA
This 85-nucleotide transfer RNA is filed under the name Citrobacter koseri. RNAcentral's name for it is "tRNA-Tyr". It matches the Rfam family "tRNA". From Rfam's summary of the family: Transfer RNA (tRNA) molecules are approximately 80 nucleotides in length. Their secondary structure includes four short double-helical elements and three loops (D, anti-codon, and T loops). RNAcentral also lists the same sequence under 13 other names. Lineage: Bacteria; Pseudomonadati; Pseudomonadota; Gammaproteobacteria; Enterobacterales; Enterobacteriaceae. The record is from RNAcentral.